Long non-coding RNA from Trachymyrmex septentrionalis, 1086 nucleotides. RefSeq lists it as uncharacterized. The record is from RefSeq and is a predicted model, not a curated record. The transcript has 4 exons. NCBI's taxonomy places the organism in Eukaryota, Metazoa, Arthropoda, Insecta, Hymenoptera, Formicidae.
UUACACAUUUUUAAUAAUUCUUAAUUUAUAUGACAUAAUUAAAAGUUUCUUUUACAUGACAUCAUGCGAACUUACUCAAUCGAAGUUUACAUUCCUUAUCAUGCAAAUUGAUCAGCUGUAAAAAUAGUCGAAAACUACAUUCUGUGGACCAGUAAUAUAUAAUUGCGCGAUAUGAAGUAAACUUUGUCCUUGACACACAUGCAAACUACCGUGGUUAACGAGCAAACGGGAUUACGAAUCUCGAAAUGUAUAAUUUAAGCACAAUCAACUCGAAACCUUGUAAUAAUAUCUAACUCCAUCUGUGCCACGUUCAAGGCGUGAGAUACGCGCAGAUAUCGUGAGUGACGGUACUACUUCAUGAUUUGACGUCAGCAUCAGAGCUUUUCAUAUUGGAGAGGAAGCCUACUUUCUUCAUCACGUUAUAAAUCUUCGUACAUGUCUUGUCGACCAAAUAUUCCCAGUUAGCUUGCCCUUUUCAUAAUCUGACGUACUCCCGUUCAAACUCAUCUGUCUCCACAGACAUUCUCGCGAUUACUGAGGGUGUCCAACUAAAAGCAACUUCACUAUGAUUGAUUUACUCUUUUUACUUGGGUGAGAUGAGCAGACUUACCCCCGUUGCUCAAACGAGAAAUAAAGAGGUCAUUUAUGGUCCGAGAAGCGAGAAUGUACAUCGCUACGACGAAGGAUGAAUCUGAGGAGCUAGUGACCACCAAUUUGCUGAACAGAUUCUUGAGCAUCGAACCACAACUCUGCGACAUGAUCGACAUAAUACAAAACCAAAAGCAUUUCCUCAAAUUCGCGAAACGUGGAUAUUUCCCGGGUACAUUUCCGUAGUAUGCAAGAGCGGAUAAUUCUCGAACACAUAUAUAUCUACCAAGAUCGACGUGACAAGAAACACUGUAGAGAAAUUUAGACGUGGUGAUCGCGAGGAUCGUGAGAAAAGGUAGUAAUACAGUGGUCACUUGGGCUUUCAAUCGUGAUACCGUUAUCUUUGCAGUAUAGGUGAAGUGAACUACCUAUUCACGAGGGAAGAGAAUCUUUAGAAUGUAUGUAUAGCUUCUGAAGAUACAUAUCAAGCAUUGAACG